AUACCUUAAAACUAGAUUGAGACAAUAAUUUGAAAACAUAAAAACUCUGUUUGCUCACAGUUAAUACAAACUCUAUCUAUAUAAAAGAACUCAUCUUGAUAAAGUGAUAUAUCUCAUUAUAUUGUUUCUCUAAUCCCCUAUUUUCUCUUCAUGAUCUUUUAUGGUGUUCCUCACACAGUCUCACUUCUACUCGACUACUCACAUAUUUAAAUCUUUGUCAUGACUCAUAAUUAACCUUGUCAUCUUUUUUUCUCUCCCACCUCAUCUCUUUUAUUUUUCACGUUCAACAUUUUUCCUCUG
RNAcentral lists this long non-coding RNA (300 nucleotides) under Panax ginseng (ginseng). RNAcentral describes it as "long non-coding RNA (PGIN_LNC005077)". Lineage: Eukaryota; Viridiplantae; Streptophyta; Magnoliopsida; Apiales; Araliaceae. The record is from RNAcentral.